CCCUUAGAUGUCCGGGGCCGCACGCGCGCUACACUGAAGGAAUCAGCGUGGCUUUCUCCCUGACCCGAAAGGGUUGGGAAACCCGUUGAAUCUCCUUCGUGAUAGGGAUUGGGGCUUGAAAUUGUUCGCCAUGAACGAGGAAUUCCCAGUAAGCGCGAGUCAUAAGCUCGCGUUGAUUACGUCCCUGCCCUUUGUACACACCGCCCGUCGCUACUACCGAUUGAACGGUUUAGUGAGGGCCUCGGAUUGGUCUCGGCCCGCUCUUUACCGGGCGGCGCCGUUGGUCGAGAAGACGCUCGAACUUGAUCGUUUAGAGGAAGUAAAAGUCGUAACA
This 334-nucleotide ribosomal RNA is filed under the name uncultured eukaryote. RNAcentral describes it as "partial 18S ribosomal RNA". It matches the Rfam family "Eukaryotic small subunit ribosomal RNA", at positions 1470 to 1796 of the family's 1831-position model. The record is from RNAcentral.